UAACGACUCUCGGCAACGGAUAUCUCGGCUCUUGCAUCGAUGAAGAACGUAGCGAAAUGCGAUACUUGGUGUGAAUUGCAGAAUCCCGUGAACCAUCGAGUCUUUGAACGCAAGUUGCGCCCGAGGUCACUAGAUCGAGGGCACGUCUGCCUGGGCGUCACAC
Molecule: ribosomal RNA, 163 nt
Filed under: Trollius ledebouri
Lineage: Eukaryota; Viridiplantae; Streptophyta; Magnoliopsida; Ranunculales; Ranunculaceae
Also listed under: 9 other names
Description: 5.8S ribosomal RNA
Rfam family: 5.8S ribosomal RNA
About the family: 5.8S ribosomal RNA (5.8S rRNA) is a component of the large subunit of the eukaryotic ribosome. It is transcribed by RNA polymerase I as part of the 45S precursor that also contains 18S and 28S rRNA.
Source: RNAcentral